Non-coding RNA from Cinara cedri, 300 nucleotides. Lineage: Eukaryota; Metazoa; Arthropoda; Insecta; Hemiptera; Aphididae. The record is from the annotation of a GenBank genome assembly.
AAAAUGGACGCAUUCCAAAAUCUAACGGGAUAUUUCCUCGAAAAGAAGACGAUUUGUAAUGUGAAUUCGCUCGUUCGAGUCAAACGAUGCCAAUUCGCUGUCCGCCAACGUUUACCGUGAAACUGACGCAGUCGGAGUGUUAUAAUAUAGGUGGCGGCGGCGUAGAUUACACACAGACAAUUUCAUGUUCCAUUUCUGCCUUUCAUCGACCUUAACCACGGUGUUCCGCACCGAAAAAUUGUCAAACGUUUCAACGUGCAAAACGGCCAUUUCCCCUAGCCACUGACUACCCUACCCCUC